UGAUGAUCUUUCAAAGUUUUUUUUGGCUCCUAAUUUUCAUUCCAGUUCUUGUGCCUGAUGAUUUAAAGACGUUUUCUUUGUUGUUGUUAGUUAAACCAUUAAACACUGACCUAUCAAUCAUUAAAGCAUAAAACAGGAAUUUAAUGUAAGAGAGGAACCAGUGUUGUCUACACACGAGGGACAACGUUAAAAUGAUAUUGUUUAUUCCCAUUUCUUUAGGUGAAUCUCCAUAAAAAUUAAUUAAUUAAAGUGAAGUCCAUGAGAAUUGGGGUGAUCACGGUCCUGCUGCUGUUGAACUAUAAGCAGAUGGCCCCGCCCCUCCCUGAGCCUGGUUCUGCCGGAGGUUUCUUCCUGUUAAAAGGGAGUUUUUCCUUCCUACUGUCGCUAAAGUGCUUGCUCACAGGGGGUCAUAUGAUUCUUGGGCUUUUCUCUCUGUAUGUAUUAUUGUAGGGUCUACCUUACAAUAUAAAGCACCUUGAAGCGACUGUUGUUGUGAUUUGGUGCUGCAUAAAUAAAAUUGGAUUGACUAUCAUUGAUGUGUCUGCACAUUUCAAUACAUUUAUGAACUAAUUUCCUGUUUUCCUUGCAAAAUAGAAAAUAUAAAGACACGGCACUACAUUAAUAGAGUCUAGCUCUUGUCCUGUGAAGUCAUAAGUGAACACACGAUAGAGGAUGUUUGAACAGACAGGUUCCAGAUUGUGCUCUGUUUACAAGGACAGCAAUCAAACUGAAGUGGACACGUGGGUGGAGCCGAUGGUUCUCACUGAUUAUCGCAGACAGAGGUCUAAGUUUAAAACUUUAAGUGUUACCACCAUCACUCGGUGGUAACACUGGAGCUCUGUGUGAUUUGGUCGAGUGAAUGUUAGUGUCUGUUUACUCGGUGCCACUCCCGGAAGCCAGGGACGCAGACUGAGCUGCACUGUUGCCAUCUGCUGAUGGAUGAUAAGCACGACUUGGUUCAGACGUCGCCUUUCUAAACCUCGUUUUACUGAAUCCCUCUGGUGUCACAAGAACGUAUUAAAGAAAGG
Molecule: long non-coding RNA, 1028 nt
Organism: Astatotilapia calliptera (eastern happy)
Lineage: Eukaryota; Metazoa; Chordata; Actinopteri; Cichliformes; Cichlidae
Source: Ensembl